ACUCUGGAGAUGAACUCUUCUCUAGGCUUAGUGACUGUGGUGCUCUUAGUGCUUGGACAAACACAUGGAGACAAUGUGACGCAGGAAGGCCAAGUGACACUCUCCGAAGGGGACUCCCUGACUGUGAGCUGUACUUAUUCAGCCACAGGAUACCCCACCCUUUUCUGGUAUGUCCAGUGUCCUGGAAAAGGUCUCGAGCUCCUGCUGAAAGCCCAGAAAGACAAUCAGAAGGAUGAAAAAGGAGGUUUUGAAGCCACCUACAAGAAAGGCCCUAAUUCCUUCCACUUGAAGAAAGCCUCAGUGCAAGCGUCAGACUCGGCUGUGUACUACUGUGCCCUGAGUGACACAGUGACAGAAGCUGCAGGGGGAGCUGAGCGCAAACCGAGCAGCAGAAGGGGCCUGGCUGCAAGGGUCAAAGGGGCAGAGGUGGAGCAGAGCCCUUCUUUCCUGAGUCUCCAGGAGGGAAAAAACGCCACCCUGAAGUGCAAAACCUCUAUGGGCGUGCAAUAUGCACAGUGGUUCCAACAGAAGCCUGGGGGCAGCCUGGUCAUGCUGAUUUACACAGCUUCAGCGACUCUGAAGCAUGAGGGAAGGUUCAGUGCCGCACUGAAUAUCCAGGAUAAGAACAGCACCCUGAACAUCGACGGCUCCCAGCUGGAGGACUCAGCCACCUACUUUUGUGCUCUGAGGCACAGUGCUUUGGGGUGA
Condylura cristata (star-nosed mole) is the source of this 708-nucleotide non-coding RNA. The record is from the annotation of a RefSeq genome assembly. NCBI's taxonomy places the organism in Eukaryota, Metazoa, Chordata, Mammalia, Eulipotyphla, Talpidae.